AAGUCGUAACAAGGUUUCCGUAGGUGAACCUGCGGAAGGAUCAUUCUUGUAUUAUCUAGUAGUUUAUUGCUCAGGCAAUUUACUUUCUACUAUGUGAACAGUGGUGUAUUUACUUGAUUGCAACAAUGCAAAUAUUUUUUGUGUUGAUUGUGAUUGGGAAAAAUUCAAAACAAAUUUAACAUGAAUACUACUAUAUAUUUACAAUUGUCUUAACAUAACAACAACAACAAUUAAAAAUACAACUUUUAGCAACGGAUCUCUAGGCUCUC
This 269-nucleotide unclassified non-coding RNA is filed under the name fungal sp. RNAcentral describes it as "partial internal transcribed spacer region". The stretch from base 1 to 46 matches the Rfam family "Eukaryotic small subunit ribosomal RNA", at positions 1786 to 1831 of the family's 1831-position model. Lineage: Eukaryota; Fungi. The record is from RNAcentral.